Molecule: transfer RNA, 63 nt
Filed under: Andrena semilaevis
Lineage: Eukaryota; Metazoa; Arthropoda; Insecta; Hymenoptera; Andrenidae
Description: tRNA-Glu
Source: RNAcentral
AUUUAUAUAGUUUAUUAAAACAUUAUAUUUUCAAUAUAAAAUUAACAAAUAUGUUUAUAAAUU